CUAUCUCACCUCCGCAUUGAUCUGAAAGAAACUCCCAGUAUGGCAGUGCAACAUGCUGGCCUGAUUGCCAUCCACAACACCUGUUGCUUGUUGAGCUUAAUUGAGUCACACACCACAACCCUGACAUUAGUAGUUAAGAUCAAGGUCAUCUUUUUUUAUCCCAAAAUAGGGAAACUCCGGUGGUCAAGGUGCAGAUACACAAAACUGUCAUAAAA
Long non-coding RNA from Etheostoma spectabile (orangethroat darter), 215 nucleotides. RefSeq lists it as uncharacterized. The record is from RefSeq and is a predicted model, not a curated record. NCBI's taxonomy places the organism in Eukaryota, Metazoa, Chordata, Actinopteri, Perciformes, Percidae. The transcript has 3 exons.